RNAcentral lists this transfer RNA (87 nucleotides) under Clostridiaceae bacterium. RNAcentral's name for it is "tRNA-Leu". It matches the Rfam family "tRNA". From Rfam's summary of the family: Transfer RNA (tRNA) molecules are approximately 80 nucleotides in length. Their secondary structure includes four short double-helical elements and three loops (D, anti-codon, and T loops). The record is from RNAcentral. Lineage: Bacteria; Bacillati; Bacillota; Clostridia; Eubacteriales; Clostridiaceae.
GCGGGAAUGGCGGAAUUGGCAGACGCGCUAGUUUCAGGUAUUAGUGCCAUUACUGGCAUGCAGGUUCAAGUCCUGUUUCCCGCACCA